Molecule: transfer RNA, 67 nt
Filed under: Marmota monax (woodchuck)
Lineage: Eukaryota; Metazoa; Chordata; Mammalia; Rodentia; Sciuridae
Description: tRNA.Val
Rfam family: tRNA
About the family: Transfer RNA (tRNA) molecules are approximately 80 nucleotides in length.
Source: RNAcentral
GGUUGUGGCUUAAUGGUAGAGCACUUGCUUAACAUGCGUGAGGCACUGGGUUCGAUCCUCAGCACCA